RNAcentral lists this ribosomal RNA (482 nucleotides) under uncultured soil bacterium. Its description in RNAcentral is "bacterial SSU rRNA". It matches the Rfam family "Bacterial small subunit ribosomal RNA", at positions 26 to 507 of the family's 1533-position model. The record is from RNAcentral.
AGAUUGAACGCUGGCGGCAGGCCUAACACAUGCAAGUCGAGCGGUAGAGAGGUGCUUGCAUCUCUUGAGAGCGGCGGACGGGUGAGUAAUGCCUAGGAAUCUGCCUAGUGGUGGGGGAUAACGUUCGGAAACGGACGCUAAUACCGCAUACGUCCUACGGGAGAAAGCGGGGGACCUUCGGGCCUCGCGCCAUUAGAUGAGCCUAGGUCGGAUUAGCUAGUUGGUGAGGUAAUGGCUCACCAAGGCGACGAUCCGUAACUGGUCUGAGAGGAUGAUCAGUCGCACUGGAACUGAGACACGGUCCAGACUCCUACGGGAGGCAGCAGUGGGGAAUAUUGGACAAUGGGCGAAAGCCUGAUCCAGCCAUGCCGCGUGUGUGAAGAAGGUCUUCGGAUUGUAAAGCACUUUAAGUGGAGAAGGCAGUUACCUAAUACGUAUCUGUUUUGACGUUACCGACAGAAUAAGCACCGGCUAACUCUGUG